ACGCUCGACACCUACGAGAGGCAGCAGUAGGGAAUCUUCCACAAUGGACGCAAGUCUGAUGGAGCAACGCCGCGUGAGUGAAGAAGGUUUUCGGAUCGUAAAGCUCUGUUGUUGGUGAAGAAGGAUAGAGGUAGUAACUGGCCUUUAUUUGACGGUAAUCAACCAGAAAGUCACGGCUAACUACGUGCCUGCAGCCGCGGUAAUCUGAGCGGGCUGGCAAGGC
RNAcentral lists this ribosomal RNA (223 nucleotides) under uncultured bacterium. RNAcentral's name for it is "partial 16S ribosomal RNA". It matches the Rfam family "Bacterial small subunit ribosomal RNA", at positions 328 to 539 of the family's 1533-position model. The record is from RNAcentral.